Molecule: RNA transcript, 3164 nt
Organism: Salvia miltiorrhiza (redroot sage)
Lineage: Eukaryota; Viridiplantae; Streptophyta; Magnoliopsida; Lamiales; Lamiaceae
Gene name: molybdenum cofactor sulfurase
Exons: 23
Source: RefSeq, a predicted model, not a curated record
UAAAGCCCAAUGAACACCACCGCACCGACUUCCAAGAUUAUUGAAUUUAAGAGUCUUUAUACCAGCCCUCAAAAAAAAAAAAAAGAAUCUUUAUACCAAGGAUUUUGUUUUGAUCGUUGUCUGACAGCGAGCUUCAGCUGGUUUGGUUUAGUUAGCCGUCUUCAAAUUUUCUUUCUGUCUGAACGAAAUAUUUGAGCGUUAGAGUCGAAAGAUGGGUGGCGAACCCGAUAAGGAACGGUUCUUGAAGGAGUUUGGUCGAGAUUAUGGAUAUCCGAAUGCACCCCACAACAUUGAUGACAUCAGAGCAAAUGAUUUUAAGCGAUUGAAUGUGUUGGUUGGGCUGUGCAGAUGUAGUGUACUUGGAUCAUGCUGGAGCAACUCUAUAUUCCGAGUCGCAAAUGCAGGGUAUUUUUAAGGACCUGAGUUCUACUCUAUAUGGAAAUCCCCAUAGCCAGAGUAAUUGCAGUUUGACGACCAGCGACAUUGUGGGGGAGGUUCGUCAGCAGAUCCUUAGUUUCUUUAAUGCUUCCCCUACCGAGUACAAUUGCAUAUUCACCUCUGGGGCGACAUCUUCAUUGAAACUUGUUGGUGAGACAUUUCCAUGGAGCAGUAGGAGUAAUUAUAUGUACACAAUGGAGAAUCACAACAGCGUUCUUGGGAUCAGAGAGUAUGCCCUUAGAGAAGGAGCUGCAGCCAUUGCAGUAGACAUUGAAGAUAUUGCUGAUUUUCAUACAACGAGUGGUAGGAAAUCUGUCAUUAAGAUUGUACCACACACUGUACAAAGAAGAGGUGAAGCUGACUGUAGGAAAAUACAUGAAACCAGUGAGACGUACAAUUUAUUUGCAUUUCCAUCGGAGUGCAACUUCUCAGGUCUUAGAUUCAACCUUGACCUGGUUAAUUCCAUAAAGGAAGGUUCUUAUCAAAUGCCUGGAACUUCUCCAACUCAGAGUGGUCACUGGAUGGUCCUGAUUGAUGCUGCAAAAGGAAGUUCAACAUGCCCCCCUGAUUUGUCAAAAUACAAGGCAGACUUUGUUGUCGUCUCAUUUUAUAAGCUAUUUGGCUACCCAACUGGAAUUGGAGCUCUUAUUGCUCGAAACGAGUCAAUGAAGUUAUUGAAGAAGACCUAUUUCAGCGGAGGCACAGUGGCUGCAUCUGUCGCAGAUAUAGACUUCUACCAAAGAAGAGAUGGUGUUGAGGAAUACUUUGAGGAUGGCACCGUAUCUUUUCUGAGCAUCGCAUCUCUUCAUCAUGGAUUCGAAGUUCUUAACACAUUAACCAUGCCUGCUAUUUCCAGGCACACAAGCUCGCUUGCCUCAUAUGCUAGGAAUGCUCUGUUGAAGCUGAGGCAUGAGAAUGGAAAUUGUGUUUGCACACUAUAUGGCAUUAAUGAACCUGAGUCAUUGUUCGAUUCAAUGGGUCCGAUAGUUUCAUUUAACCUGAAAAGGCCCGACGGAUCUUGGUUUGGCUAUCGAGAGGUGGAAAAAUUGGCUUCUUUGUCCAAUAUCCAGUUAAGGACAGGGUGCUUUUGCAAUCCUGGUGCAUGUGCAAAACAUCUUGGUUUGUCUCAUUCAGAUCUUCUUUCUAACAUUGAGGCAGGACAUGUUUGCUGGGAUGAUCAUGACAUAUUGAAUGGCAAACCAACUGGAGCAGUUAGGGUGUCAUUUGGUUACAUGUCAACAUUUGAAGAUGCCAUGAAACUUUUGAAGUUCAUCAAGAGUUCAUUUGUUCCCCAACUGACACAUAAUAUAUUUGGAGAAGAACCAUCUUCUGCAACUGAAGGGGUUGAAAGGACUUCAAGAUACUUUCUCAAAUCAAUCACUAUUUAUCCCAUCAAAUCUUGUGCUGGUUUCAGUGUGGAGAGCUGGCCUUUAUGUAAUACUGGAUUGCUGCAUGAUAGGGAAUGGCUUCUCAAGAGCUUCAAUGGAGAAAUUUUGACCCAGAAGAAGGUUCCUGAAAUGGGUUUAAUUACCACAUCUGUCGAUCUCAAAUUGGGAGUCCUUAUUGUUGAAUCUCCCCGUUGCAAAGAAAAAAUGCAGAUAGAGCUUACUUCGGCUCAAUCUAUAGGUAAAAGAGAAGUGAUGGAAAUACAUUCUCAAAGAUAUGAAGUUGGAGGCUACUGGAAUGAAAUCGACAUUUGGUUUAGCAAUGCAGUUGGUCGGCCUUGUACCCUUGUCAGAAGCUAUGCUGUCCAAAAUCAGAUGUGGUCAAAUAGGGAGCAGUGCAUAGUAGGGAUGUGCAGAGAUGUGGAGACUAAAUUGAAUUUUGUCAAUGAAGCUCAGUUUUUACUAUUACUGGAAGAUAGCGUAUCAGAUCUGAACAACAGAUUGAGAUCAAAGUUGCAUAAUGGCUCACAUAACCAGCCUGCUGAAGUUGAUCCAAUGAGGUUCCGUCCAAAUUUUGUCGUCUCUGGUGGAAAACCCUAUGCAGAAGAUGGAUGGAGAAGUCUGAAGAUUGGAGAGAGAAACUUUAAGUCCUUGGGUGGUUGCAACCGGUGCCAGAUGAUCAAUAUGACUUCUGCAGACGGGACAGUGCAGAGGUCCAAUGAACCGUUAGCCACUUUAGCAUCUUAUAGAAGAUUAAAGGGGAAGAUAUAUUUUGGAAUAUUGUUAAGAUUGUGCGAUUUUAUCGAUCAAGAUACGUGGAUUUCUGUGGGACAAGAAACAAUUCCAAACACAGAUUAACUUUGCAAGUGAUAAGGAGUGCACACUUUCUGGGUGAUCUGAGGUUUUCGUAUAAAUUACUGUAGAUAUAGAUUAACAAACUAUCUUACAGCUGGCUGAAAGCAGGGGAACUACUCCAGUAUCACAACUGCUGUCUGCAAAUGGAGUUAGCUUGACCCGUGGAAAAUCGAAGGAAGUCAAACACAUAUGGUCUGAUGACUGGAAAUGGGGGCUGCAAUUCAAUAAAAAUAAUACACGCGCAGAGAUUCAUUGUAUUUGUAUCUCAACUUGACCUUCCAAAAUAAAACUACUAGUAUUUUAUAUGCCUCGGCAUUCGCUACUUCUGUAUUUCUAACUUCUAACUGCUAUGAAUUAAAUAUUCUACAGUAUGAUUGAGUUAUGAUAGACGCAUAGUGGAGCAUUAUAUCUUACAAUAUGUUACAUCACACAUAAUUAAAGGGAUGAAAUCUUCUUUAAUCCUAUAUUACAUGAUUAUUUACAGAA